RNAcentral lists this long non-coding RNA (339 nucleotides) under Mytilus galloprovincialis (Mediterranean mussel). The record is from RNAcentral. Lineage: Eukaryota; Metazoa; Mollusca; Bivalvia; Mytilida; Mytilidae.
GCUUCGGUCCAAAUGAAUAUCCUAAUCCUGAAGAUGUAACGAGCAAUUUGGUAAAAUAAAUUUGUCGUAAUCUUUUACGGUUGCGAAGGAGUAGUGGCCACAAGAAAAACAGUGUUUGGGGAGAUAACUCUUACAACGUAAAGUAUUUUGUUACGCAGUUGUAAAUUUUUAAAGCGUAUAAACUAUACGAUAUCAUAUUCCAAAUAUCUAAGCGACAUCUUUUGAAACAUCAAUACUACGCAAGAAAAAAAUUAGGCGGAAGAAAAAAAAAAAAAUAAUAAUAAUAAUUAAAAACCAAUUGUUCAGAGAACAAUUGAAGGUCUUUCCACUAGUAAAGAU